Molecule: long non-coding RNA, 1198 nt
Filed under: Canis lupus familiaris (dog)
Lineage: Eukaryota; Metazoa; Chordata; Mammalia; Carnivora; Canidae
Description: lncRNA (ENSCAFG00000057605.1)
Source: RNAcentral
AUAUGAAGUAUUGCUACAUAUAUUAAGUGCAAGGUACAGGUGAAAGGAUAAGAUUUAUUUCAGUUGCAAUUGAUCACUUAGGUUCCAAUGCUUUACUCUCGGGUUUCUAAAAGUUGAUACACUUGGAGAGUUAAUAAUAAGCAUAUUCAGUUGAGAGUGGUAAGAAUUACCUUGCUAGAACCUGUCAUGUGUAAAUGACAUCCCCUAUACUGUUACUUUGGUUGGUACUUCUUGAAAAUAUUGCUUUUUAGGAAUACUAAAUUAAGUUAGUACUCUGGUUUGCAAGUACCCUACAAAGGCAAAUAUUAGGAACAUGCUAAUUUAAACUUUCUGAUGACAUUUUUUUUGCUUUUUGAGUUUUUUGGUCAGGAAAAGGAAGAAAUAAUGACAAUCAGAACUGUUCCAUCAGGAAUAAGAAACCCAUUUUAAUACCAAAAACCAAAUCAAAUUAACCAUAUCAGCCCAAACUUCAAAUAGCCUAGAUUCAAAUUAAAAUUUUUUCAGUUGUAUAUACUAAUAACAUUAUGGAAAGCCAGGGAGAAGCUUAUUUUUAUUACUUUGCACUGAAAGUUUUAGAAUAUUUAAAAGCACCAAUUUUCAUUUUGUGAUUUACAUGAUAAAACUCUUUGGGAAGAAAUAUCAGGGGGUGGGUGGGUUCAGUAAUAUUUAUUUCCAGUGCUCAUCAACUAACAAAUCAUCCUUGUUGGAACAAAUAUGGUAUGUGUACUUCUGUGAGAAUAUGUCAAGAAAUAAACUGACACUCAUAAAUAGAAAGCAAAAACAAAACAAAAUCAGCAGUUAAGCAAAAAUAAUAUGGUAAAAAUCCCAUGCAAAUAUAUCACAGAGCAUUAAAAGUAGUGAUUUAAAAAAACCUAAUGAACAAAAAUAUAUACUAAAAGUCAAGCCAAUAGACCCCACUAACAGGUAAUAUAUAGACAUAUUGUGGUUAUUAUUUAAAGAUAGCAAGACUAUAGUACUGGUUUAUGCUUAUAUCUAGCAGAAACAAAGUAUGUGAUAAGAGUUAUUUGAGCCAUAAAAAUAAUCAGCUAAUUUUUAAAAGAAAGUUGAUGGAAAAUUCUAACAACCAACAAAUUAUAUAUACAAAUAAAACAUCUUUAAACAAUUACUUUUAAUUUCACAUUAAAACACCCAAAAUUUUGCUAUAAUAUAGGGAGUAAAAUUACUAGAAUAAAAAAAA